UCGACAGGUGCUGCUAUUAAGCAGAGAAUAGGAAAGCCGGGUGAAAUGCCCGCACGGUCACGCCGCUGUAUAGGAAUAGUAUCCGCUCAAAAUGUCACUGUUAGUUAUUAGAAUGGGAAGACGAGCCGGUAUGUUAACGCCUGAGUCAGAAGACCUGCCUGCGAUAAG
Molecule: non-coding RNA, 168 nt
Filed under: uncultured Robinsoniella sp.
Lineage: Bacteria; Bacillati; Bacillota; Clostridia; Lachnospirales; Lachnospiraceae
Source: RNAcentral